GUGAGGAAUAUUGGUCAAUGGACGGAAGUCUGAACCAGCCAUGCCGCGUGAAGGAUGAAGGCGUUCUGCGUUGUAAACUUCUUUUAUCAGAGAAGAAACCACUGAUUUCUAUUAGUGUUGACGGUAUCUGAUGAUUAAGCACCGGCUAACUCCGUGCCAGCAGCCGCGGUAAUACGGAGGGUGCAAGCGUUAUCCGGAUUUACUGGGUUUAAAGGGUGUGUAGGCGGGCUAUUAAGUCAGGGGUGAAAUCCCGGGGAUCAACCUCGGAACUGCCUUUGAUACUAUUAGUCUUGAAUUAUGUUGAGGUUGGCGGAAUAUAACAUGUAGCGGUGAAAUGCAUAGAUAUGUUAUAGAACACCGAUUGCGAAGGCAGCUGGCUAAACAUAUAUUGACGCUGAGGCACGAAAGCGUGGGUAGCGAACAGGAUUAGAAACCCUUGUAGUCC
Molecule: ribosomal RNA, 445 nt
Filed under: uncultured bacterium
Lineage: Bacteria
Description: partial 16S ribosomal RNA
Rfam family: Bacterial small subunit ribosomal RNA
Source: RNAcentral